CCUCGGGCUCCAGCUCCACCUGCACCGUGGGCCGGAAGAACACGUACUUGCUCUCCAGACUGUUGAGGCUGCAAGACCCCGACAGGCGCUGAUCGUCUGCAAGGCGGGGUGCGAGGGGCCCGGAAACCCGCAGCGCAAACAGCGCGGAAUCCAGACGCCGGAGAAGGGGCCAGAAGGGCGCGGGCCACACACAUCCCGGGGCACCCAGCCUCCGUGCGGCACCUCCAGCCAGCCGCGGGUCAAGGCCGCUUCCCCUCCGCGGCCCGCCCGCCGGGGGUCCUCCAUCUCCCACGGGGUCGCCCGCACAGCCUCCUCCUCCGUUCCCUGGGACGGCCCAGGGCCACGCGGGGAAAGAAGCCCAAGCCCGCUGCGAGCAAAGGCAGGAGCCCAGGAGCCCCUCUGCAGCCCCAGCCCGCCCGCCCCGGCCCGCCGCCGAGCGCCCGCAGAGCCUCCGGCGUGCGUUUGUCCCGCAGAGGCGUUCAGAGCGCUACACCCGCCCGCACUCUUCUAGAUGCGCCGGGAACGUCGGUUCACUCCAGAGCUCCAUCAGCGCGGACAGGGCAGACCUUCUCCAACUCGAGCAGCACCUGGAGAACCCAUCAAAAUAGUUUCCUGCCCCGCCCUCGCCCCACCGGCCGGCCUUAACUCCGCUGGGCCAGGGGAGUCCCGGAAAGUGCAUUUCUAACAACUUCGCAGCUGGUGCCAAAGCUACUGGUCCCAGGACAGCGCCCUGAGAGCCGCCGCCGCUGCCCUAGGAGCCCGCUGCCUGACAGAACAUCGCGGGACAGUGCUCGCUUCGGCAGCACGUGUGCCGAACUUGGCAGGACUCAGAGAUGCUCUGUGUCUGCCUGGAGCCCGCGGUUCCCUGGGGGACAGUGCCGCUCCGACAGGGCCUUGCUCUUGCUCCCUCUCUCGCACACUCCCACCUUCCUCUCACUACAGACCUCACCUUUGCCCUUGGAGAAGCAGAAGCCAGCAGAUGGCGUCUCCUCUAACUCUUCCUACCGCUGCCAUCACUCUAGCUGAGGCGCCAGCCCAGAGCCCUGCUUCCGCCCCACGCAGCACAUGGGACCCUCUGACCGCCAUGUGUUCCUGUCCAGCAUCCCUGGGCAGUAGUCACCUGCAUUCUCUCCCCGCCAUUGGCUGGGCCAGUCAGGCUUCCCUGCCAGCUGCACUCCCCUAACAGCUCUGGGCUGGAUCCCGAGUGCUCUGUUCUUCCCUCCUGCCCAGGGGACCUCAGCAGCUCCCAAAGUCACACCUCCAGCCCUGCGCUCUCUUGAGUGCUCCAGACGUGUCCAGCUGACAGCCCCACCGAGGUCUUCUCUCACAUGCCCCCCCUCCAGGCUUUCCUGGCUGAGUGAGUGGCCCUCCAGCCCACCUACUGGCACCUCGGAGUCCUCUUCUUCCCACCGCAGCCAAGACUACGAACUCAUUACCAGGAAGCCUAACCUGUUCUCCCUCACUGCUCUAGUCCAGCUACCACUGUGCCCCAGCCGGACUACCGAAACCUCUCUCCCUCCGCCUCCCUGCCUCAUACUCCCCCUCCGUGCCAUUGUCCAUACAGAGUGGUGUGGGGGGACUGGCCCCUGGACGAUCACAGCCUCUUCCUGUGUUGGUUUCCCAUGAGCCCAGGGACAGCAAGCCCCUGUCCCCUUUCAAAGCAGUUGGAUCUGAAGCCAGAGGCCUUCCAAGAGGGGCUCCUGGCUGGCUCAGCUGACAGGGCAUGUCUCUUGAUCUCAGGGUCAUGAGUGUGGAGCUUACUUUAAAAAAAAAAAAAAAAAAAAAAUCCUUCCCAUAAAUUCCCCUUCAUAUAUCAUCGGUUUGGGUUGGGGUUCCAAGGGACAGAAGCAUAUGCUUACUUGUACGCUGCCUGUGGUUUUUUUUUUUCCCCAGAAAAUGUAAAUGGACUAUGUGUGUAUUGUUCUCUCCCUACCCAAAAAGUGAUUGUUGAAUGA
Mustela lutreola (European mink) is the source of this 1955-nucleotide long non-coding RNA. RefSeq lists it as uncharacterized. NCBI's taxonomy places the organism in Eukaryota, Metazoa, Chordata, Mammalia, Carnivora, Mustelidae. The record is from RefSeq and is a predicted model, not a curated record. The transcript is spliced from 3 exons.